UGGGGAAUAUUGGACAAUGGGCGCAAGCCUGAUCCAGCCAUGCCGCGUGAGUGAUGAAGGCCCUAGGGUUGUAAAGCUCUUUCGCCAGGGACGAUAAUGACGGUACCUGGAUAAGAAGCCCCGGCUAACUUCGUGCCAGCAGCCGCGGUAAUACGAAGGGGGCUAGCGUUGUUCGGAAUCACUGGGCGUAAAGCGCACGUAGGCGGAUCUUUAAGUCAGGGGUGAAAUCCCGAGGCUCAACCUCGGAACUGCCUUUGAUACUGGAGGUCUCGAGUUCGGGAGAGGUGAGUGGAACUGCGAGUGUAGAGGUGAAAUUCGUAGAUAUUCGCAAGAACACCAGUGGCGAAGGCGGCUCACUGGCCCGAUACUGACGCUGAGGUGCGAAAGCGUGGGGAGCAAAACAGGAUUAGAUACCCUGGUAGUCCACGCCGUAAACGAUGGAUGCUAGCCGUUGGGGAGCUUGCUCUUCAGUGGCGCAGCUAACGCUUUAAGCAUCCCGCCUGGGGAGUACGGUCGCAAGAUUAAAACUCAAAGGAAUUGACGGGGUCAUAGCUGUUUCCUG
RNAcentral lists this ribosomal RNA (562 nucleotides) under uncultured bacterium. RNAcentral describes it as "partial 16S ribosomal RNA". It matches the Rfam family "Bacterial small subunit ribosomal RNA", at positions 355 to 1376 of the family's 1533-position model. The record is from RNAcentral.